AGCAGCCGCGGUAAUUCCAGCUCCAAUAGCGUAUAUUAAAGUUGUUGCAGUUAAAAAGCUCGUAGUUGAAUUUCGGGAUCAGUAUGUUGGUCGUGCUUCGGUACGUACUGUCAUUACUGGUUUCUACCUUCUGAAGAACCUUGAUGUCAUUAAUUUGGUGUCUUGGGGAAUCAGGACUGUUACUUUGAAAAAAUUAGAGUGUUUAAAGCAAGCAUACGCUUGAAUACAUUAGCAUGGAAUAAUGAAAUAGGACGUUUGAUUCUAUUUUGUUGGUUUCUAGGAUCGACGUAAUGAUUAAUAGGGAUAGUUGGGGGCAUUAGUAUUCAAUUGUCAGAGGUGAAAUUCUUGGAUUUAUUGAAGACUAACUACUGCGAAAAGCAUUUGCCAAGGAUGUUUUCAUUAAUCAAGAACGAAAGUUAGGGGAUCGAAGACGAUCAGAUACCGUCGUAGUCUUAACCAUAAACUAUGCCGACUAGGGAUCGGGAUGAUGUUAUUUUAAUGACUCAUUCGGCGCCUUAAC
This 520-nucleotide unclassified non-coding RNA is filed under the name uncultured Glomus. Its description in RNAcentral is "SSU rRNA". It matches the Rfam family "Eukaryotic small subunit ribosomal RNA", at positions 569 to 1092 of the family's 1831-position model. Lineage: Eukaryota; Fungi; Glomeromycota; Glomeromycetes; Glomerales; Glomeraceae. The record is from RNAcentral.